Molecule: transfer RNA, 63 nt
Filed under: Sinochlora longifissa
Lineage: Eukaryota; Metazoa; Arthropoda; Insecta; Orthoptera; Tettigoniidae
Description: tRNA-Phe
Source: RNAcentral
ACUUAAGUAGCUUAUUAGAGCAUAACAUUGAAGCUGUUAAGGGGGUAGAAUUACUCUUAAGUA